AUUGAACGCUGGCGGCAGGCUUAACACAUGCAAGUCGAACGAUGAGUCUCUAGCUUGCUAGAGAUGAUUAGUGGCGGACGGGUGAGUAACAUUUAGGAAUCUACCUAGUAGUGGGGGAUAGCUCGGGGAAACUCGAAUUAAUACCGCAUACGACCUACGGGUGAAAGGGGGCGCAAGCUCUUGCUAUUAGAUGAGCCUAAAUCAGAUUAGCUAGUUGGUGGGGUAAAGGCCCACCAAGGCGACGAUCUGUAACUGGUCUGAGAGGAUGAUCAGUCACACCGGAACUGAGACACGGUCCGGACUCCUACGGGAGGCAGCAGUGGGGAAUAUUGGACAAUGGGGGCAACCCUGAUCCAGCCAUGCCGCGUGUGUGAAGAAGGCCUUUUGGUUGGAAAGCACUUUAAGCAGGGAGGAGAGGCUAAUGGUUAAUACCCAUUAGAUUAGACGUGACCUGCAGAAUAAGCACCGGCUAACUCUG
Molecule: ribosomal RNA, 478 nt
Filed under: uncultured bacterium
Lineage: Bacteria
Description: partial 16S ribosomal RNA
Rfam family: Bacterial small subunit ribosomal RNA
Source: RNAcentral